GCCUGGGUGGCUCAGUGGGUUAAGCGCCUGACUCUUGAUUUCUGCUCAGGUCAUGAUCUCAGGGUUGUGAGCUCGAGCCCCGCCCUGGGCU
This 91-nucleotide transfer RNA is filed under the name Ailuropoda melanoleuca (giant panda). It matches the Rfam family "tRNA". From Rfam's summary of the family: Transfer RNA (tRNA) molecules are approximately 80 nucleotides in length. Their secondary structure includes four short double-helical elements and three loops (D, anti-codon, and T loops). Lineage: Eukaryota; Metazoa; Chordata; Mammalia; Carnivora; Ursidae. The record is from Rfam by way of RNAcentral.